RNAcentral lists this ribosomal RNA (458 nucleotides) under uncultured Acidovorax sp. RNAcentral describes it as "bacterial SSU rRNA". It matches the Rfam family "Bacterial small subunit ribosomal RNA", at positions 923 to 1382 of the family's 1533-position model. Lineage: Bacteria; Pseudomonadati; Pseudomonadota; Betaproteobacteria; Burkholderiales; Comamonadaceae. The record is from RNAcentral.
GCACAAGCGGUGGAUGAUGUGGUUUAAUUCGAUGCAACGCGAAAACCUUACCCACCUUUGACAUGUACGGAAUCCUUUAGAGAUAGAGGAGUGCUCGAAAGAGAACCGUAACACAGGUGCUGCAUGGCUGUCGUCAGCUCGUGUCGUGAGAUGUUGGGUUAAGUCCCGCAACGAGCGCAACCCUUGUCAUUAGUUGCUACAUUCAGUUGGGCACUCUAAUGAGACUGCCGGUGACAAACCGGAGGAAGGUGGGGAUGACGUCAAGUCCUCAUGGCCCUUAUAGGUGGGGCUACACACGUCAUACAAUGGAUGGUACAAAGGGUCGCCAACCCGCGAGGGGGAGCCAAUCCCAUAAAGCCAUUCGUAGUCCGGAUCGCAGUCUGCAACUCGACUGCGUGAAGUCGGAAUCGCUAGUAAUCGCAGGUCAGCAUACUGCGGUGAAUACGUUCCCGGGUCUU